This 219-nucleotide ribosomal RNA is filed under the name uncultured archaeon. RNAcentral describes it as "partial 16S ribosomal RNA". It matches the Rfam family "Archaeal small subunit ribosomal RNA", at positions 779 to 998 of the family's 1478-position model. The record is from RNAcentral.
UUGGCUUAUGGCAGUGCAGUGCCGCAGGGAAGCCGUUAAGUUUGCCGCCUGGGAAGUACGUACGCAAGUAUGAAACUUAAAGGAAUUGGCGGGGGAGCACCACAAGGGGUGAAGCCUGCGGUUCAAUUGGAGUCAACGCCAGAAAUCUUACCCGAGGAGACAGCAGAAUGAAGGUCAAGCUGAAGACUUUACCAGACAAGCUGAGAGGAGGUGCAUGGC